GGUCAGGAGAGCAGGAAGGAGCUGGACCGCAAGGCACGCGAGGGCGAGACCGUCGUCCCCGGCGGAACCGGCGGCAAGAGCGUCGAGGCCCAGGAGCACCUCGCCGAAGGUAUACGUAAUACUAAUAACCAACUGCCAGCAGUGCCAGCCACUCCAGUUUCCUGUUGUUAUUGGCUUUAUUAAUUGUGCCUCGACGUCGUAUGCAUGCAGGGCGCAGCCGCGGGGGGCAGACUCGCAGGGAGCAGCUGGGGCAUGAGGGGUACAGCGAGAUGGGGAAGAAGGGCGGUCUGAGCAGCACGGAGGAGUCCGGCGGCGAGCGCGCCGCCAGGGAGGGUGUCGACAUCGACGAGUCCAAGUUUAGGACCAACAAGCAGUCCUAGACGCGUGCGUCCCUAUACGCACUACGUACGCAGCGCUCGUAUCUGUCUGUCAGUGUACCUUGUGGCUGUCGUAGCUAGUACUGUCUAUUUGGAGAAGUAGCAGAAUAAUAAUAAUGUAGGGUGCCUCAGCAUGCGUGUAGGCGAUCAUGCAUACGUACAUGUACGUGUGUAUGAUCAUGUGCGUGCUUCGAGAAGGGUUCAGUUAGUUCCUAAUCAUGUCAGUCGUCAAAGUUCAGUUAGCUCCUAUAAUCAUGUCAGUCGUACGUCAGGGGAAGGUUCGCUUCAUCAGGCUUUGUAGUUUGCUAGCCUGUUUGUUUCUAUGCAUGCGCGCGUGUCCGCCUCUCGACAAGUGGCCGGUUGAGCAUGCAUGCAUAGUCCUCUGUUAAGGACGCUUUGUAUCCAUGUUUCCAUGGCUCCUAAAUAAUCAGUAAUGUAAAGCUAGUUUGGCGGUUCCUCGUCAUAUCUGCGGCUGAUUUGCGCUGGUUUCUCUCAAUUGUCUCAAUGUUGUGUUAUCACCACGUCGUCGGCUUUUCUAUCUUGAUAGUACGUACGUACUACUGCGAACACAAAACAGGAUGAAAUCAGCUACUAUUUUAAAUGUUCGAACUUUGAACUCAUGGUCAUUAGUGUAUAACGAGAUGAAAAUUAUCUUUAAGACUGUCAGGUUCACAACAUAUAUACCGAUAUAUGAUCGAAGCGUCAUUUGGCUCAUUUCUACACAUGGACCUUCACCAAUAAAUUCUACUCCCCCGACCAACUAGCAAAGAAGUUUUUGUCGAACUGUUUUUUUUUCAAUAAUGGUGUAUACGGUGGAAAGGGAAAUGAGAACACUAGUAUGGCACUCUUGGCAUUGCUCGUCUUUGACUCAGUAUGGGAGAGGACGACGACGACAGCGUUAGGACAAGAUCGACGAGUUGCGGGAGGCUGCUUAUUAUUAGAGGUGGAGGCGGCGGAACCCUAUCAUGAUAUAGGCUAGCAAACCCUAUCACGCUACAGAACCAAGCACAGCUGCACAGACAGGGUCACAUCCGAAGUAAUUAAUAAUUAUAAAAGGCAUGAAAUAAACACAUUCAAACUGUAGGUAACAAUUUAAUUAUUAUAAUGUAAACUUAAUACCCUUAGAUUUAUAAUUAAAUUUAAAUAAUAUAAAAUAAAUAAAUAAAUAAACAAACAAUAUAAUUUGAAAUACCAUCAAACCAAAUUAUGUCUUAUAAGGCGAUCCAUGAAGUAUUAAAUAUAGACGAAAAUAAAAACUAAUUGCACAGUUUGAUUAGAAUUGAAAGACGAAUUUUUUGAGCAUAGUUAGUCUUUGAUUGGAUAAUAUUUGUGAAAUACAAACAAGUGUUACAGUAUCGGUUUUUUUAAAAAAAUUUGGAACUAAAUAAGACCUAAAUGAUUAUAAAGGAGUCCGGGUACGGUUGACAAGAAGGGGCGGCCCUACGCGAUAAAUUAAAGAUCAUUUCCUUCAGCCUUGGAUGUGAGAAGACUUUGUUUCUGAUAUGAGAAAUGAUUUCUACUAUUUCUCCUCUCUUUUACUUUCAUCCUUAUCUCGGUUGCUACAUUAACAAAAAUGCUUAGGAGCAUAGUAUCUAAUGCCAUGGUUUUAAGUAGUUCAAACUUAAAAAUUAAAAGCUAACUCUCAUCUAAGCUAACUCUCAUCUAAAAUAACUAUUGGAUGUGAGAAGACUUUCACUAGUACAGAGAGAUACUAUACUGGCGGUUCGCAACCCCUUUGUACAGGCGGAUUGACGAACCGCCAGUGGCUAUAGGCCUGUGGGCGGUUAGCUGAGAACCGUCUGUAGAAACCGAUUUCUACAGGCGGUUCAGUUAUGUGAUCCGCCUGUGGAAAUCAAUUUCUACAGGCGGUUCUUUUAUGUAAACCGCCUGUAGAAAUUGGAUUCUACAGCUCAUAACAGAACCGCCUGUGGUAAGAUUUUCCAAUUUAACCCUAUUUUGCAGCAAACCCUAUUUUUAAUAUUACAUAUAUAUUAUAUACAUUAAUAUUGAAACUAUGUUAGGCUACAAGAUUCAACAAAUACAACAUGCAAUAUAUUUAUAUAUACCAUUACUUUGUACAUAAAAUUAUAUUAAUUACAAACAUCACACAUCAAAGUUUAUGAGGUUUCACAUCUGAAACCUCUGCUCUAAUAACCCGAUCGAGAUAGCUUUAGCCAACUAAUAUCUCUUAGUGCUCUAAACUCAGGCUUUGCUAGGACGCUAGUCGGGUCGUGAUAUUUCCCUUCGGUGGGAAUGGCUUCUCUCAAGAGAAAAGUGCAAAGGUCCUCAACUAUGUUGUAUAGAACAACUUGAGUCACGCUCUUCGUCUUUUCCAACUCAUGUUACUGCAGAGGAAGUUAGAAACAUCAUAAAUUUAUAGUUCAUAUAACACAUGCUUAGCAACAAAAAAUGACAUAAUUAUAUAAACGACUAUUAGAGCAAUACCUUAGAAGGGUUAGUUACAUAUCUUCCGGUCUCUCCCAUGAACUCGCAGACGUAGAAUCCACAGUGGACCGAUCCGACUGUUUGCUUAUGGCACUGAUGUAUGACGAAAAAGUUGAUAUUUAUUAGUUGCAACAUCGUCAUAUGCAUAUUAUAUUUAUAAAAGAUAGCUUGUGAUAUUUUGGUACGUACCGGCCAUUUAUAAAAUAAUCUCAAUGGCUGCCCCGGUUCUGAUGAAUCGCACCUUCCACCUUUGAUCUUAUAAUACCUAUAGGCCCUAUAGUAUCGAAUACACAAUCCUCAAGUUAUUCUGAAACUCUUAUAAAAGUAGAUAUGAAUAUUUAAUGUAGUCAGCUUACCGUUCCAAGUGUGUAAUGAAUUUAGCAUAACUUGAAGGAUCAUAGUCUGUAGAGUCUAGGACUAGCACACGUCCUAGAC
Molecule: long non-coding RNA, 3257 nt
Filed under: Sorghum bicolor (sorghum)
Lineage: Eukaryota; Viridiplantae; Streptophyta; Magnoliopsida; Poales; Poaceae
Description: long non-coding RNA (SBIC_LNC016435)
Source: RNAcentral